AUACGUAGGGGGCAAGCGUUGUCCGGAAUUAUUGGGCGUAAAGCGCGCGCAGGCGGUCAUGUAAGUCUGGUGUUUAAUCCCGGGGCUCAACCCCGGUACGCACUGGAAACUGUGUGGCUUGAGUGCAGGAGAGGAGAGCGGAAUUCCACGUGUAGCGGUGAAAUGCGUAGAGAUGUGGAGGAACACCAGUGGCGAAGGCGGCUCUCUGGCCUGUAACUGACGCUGAGGCGCGAAAGCGUGGGUAGCAAACAGGAUUAGAUACCCUGGUAGUCCACGCCGUAAACGAUGAAUGCUAGGUGUUAGGGGUUUCGAUACCCUUAGUGCCGAAGUAAACACAUUAAGCAUUCCGCCUGGGGAGUACGGUCGCAAGACUGAA
This 376-nucleotide ribosomal RNA is filed under the name uncultured bacterium. RNAcentral's name for it is "bacterial SSU rRNA". It matches the Rfam family "Bacterial small subunit ribosomal RNA", at positions 523 to 898 of the family's 1533-position model. The record is from RNAcentral.